UUGAAAGUACAUAGUAUGACCAGAAUAACGUUGAUAAGAUAACACAAGUGCCCCAUAGUCGUUCACGACUGUAAGUAUAGUGAAUACCAGGAAAUUUAAGUACUGGAUCAAAUUCUUUGUAAGGAAAAUUACCAAUUGAUAGGGAGGACUUUGUAGGAGUGAACAAGAGCUUGGGUUUGGCUUCACAAGAUAGUUCGUUUACAGUAGUUGCUUCUUCAGAAGGAUUUUGAGAUUU
Non-coding RNA from Schizosaccharomyces pombe (fission yeast), 235 nucleotides. NCBI's taxonomy places the organism in Eukaryota, Fungi, Ascomycota, Schizosaccharomycetes, Schizosaccharomycetales, Schizosaccharomycetaceae. The record is from the annotation of a GenBank genome assembly.